Molecule: long non-coding RNA, 1144 nt
Filed under: Homo sapiens (human)
Lineage: Eukaryota; Metazoa; Chordata; Mammalia; Primates; Hominidae
Description: HSALNT0309479
Source: RNAcentral
CCGGGCUGGGGCUGGGGGUGCUCGGCCGGUCUUGCAGGCCCCGUCGGCCACCCGCGCCCUUGGUCCCGCCUCGGAGCCUCGGCCCCAGCUCCGGCCCCGACACGGGAGCUGCUCUUCCCUCGCGGAAGCGGUGCCGCCUGGCCCGCGGCAGCGCAGACGCCCUGCCUUGCCCUCAGGCUGGCCGGGCCGCCUGUGGCCGGAGAAAGCCCCAUUGUGGCCUGAGUGCGCCCCGCAGCCAGUCGGGAUUUCUCUCGCAGAGAGAGGCCUUUGUUCGCCUCACCCCAUCUGACUGCCCCGUGCUCUGUCCCAGCCUCAUUUGCUCCCCAAGCCCCAACCUGGGUUCCUGCUCUGGCAACAAGGAGCAGGUGGCAGCAAGGGGCGUUUUCGCGCCCCUCCCCCUAAUCACCCAGGAAAUCUCUGAGCUUGGCCACCUGCCCUGGGGGAGGAGACGCGAGGCCUGCGCACCCCACUCUGCUUCAUCCCUGGUUGCUCUCCCCACUCCUGUGGCCCCUCCGCCGGCGUUUGUGCUGUGUGACAUCCCUCUCCUCCACCGCUGCCUGGGGUUGGGGGCAGUCGGGGCAGUCAGGCCAGGCCAGGCCACCCCUGGGUGAAGAGGGCAUUGGGGCCAGAAGGGUCUGCACUGACCACCUCCAAGUUUCUGUUCUUAGGCUGUUCCCGCCGCAGCAGAAUAUAAAGUGCUGAAGCCAGAACCCAGACUGGGACGCAAGGCCCAGAACCUGCGCAGGGGCCACCGGCAAUCGGCCACCAUGCCCCUGCCCUGCUGUGCCUCGACUUACCCAUCUGCUGCUGGGGUAAUCCUAACCAUCUCUUACUGAGGGACCCUGAGUGCCUUGUUCAAGUUCAGUGUGGUGAGCCCAUUGGUGGGAGGUGUUUUUCCUCCCCAAAGACUGUAUUUUGAAAAGUACUAAUAAAAUACAGGAGGGUCUAGCCAGAGGGUGGGCUGACAGCUUCCGAAGCAGAUGGCUGCCCCGUCGCUGCACUCAAGGCCGGGCCUUGCUAAUGCUUUCCCAGAUGCAUAUCUUCACAGACAAGAGUAAAUACCACGUAAAGAGACCUGGGUCUAAGGAGGUGACUUGGGAAAACCACUAGACUCUGACUUGUCCUUGCGUCUUGAACCUGCCUG